CUUUAUUUUAAAACUGUAAUUACAAUAUCUCUCAGAAAUGUCAAGAACUCAAGCAUGAGUAAUCCUGGAGUUCAACAGGAGCAGAGGCCGUAUUGCUCUAUUGGGCUCGUAACACGGUCGUCUUCGUGUAAACUGAAGCUGGGAGACCCUGUGCUCGUCAACUCGUGGGAAUUCUGCCGCACAGUGAAAACGUGAACCACAGUUACGUCCGACGGUGUCAGCGAAUCUCACGGACCUGACGUCGAACGCAAGAAGCUGCUCACAGAGUCCGUGCUAUACUAUUUCAUUAUUACCAAGUUCGAGAAUAGGCAAAGGGAAUCUCCCGUGACGGUGAGGUUUACAUGAGCAGAUUCACGUAAAGUCCUCGGAAAAGUGAACGACUGGAAAUCAAUCCGUAAGCGUGAGCCACUUUUGUUAGAAUGAGAGACGUUCAGUGAAACCUCUCUGAAAUGAGUGGUGCUCAUUAAACGGUCUUAAUGAGGAGCCUGAAGGUAACCUUGUGGGAGAACCGCACAGGAGCCUCACUGAGGAACUUGGCUCUGGGAAGCAGGACCCCUGGACUUGCAGGCAGAGAUAAAAGAAGUAUGAUGCAGGAAAGGCAUGAGCACAGAGGAUCGAGUGUAAACUAUUCACGAAUUUUUUCAAAAGAAAGAACUACUUCAAAUUAUGUUUUGGUAGUAGAAAAGGGGACGCUUAGGCAAAACUUGCGGACUCGUUGGCAUUCCUUUAGAUAAAUAGGUGAAGCCUGGAUCUUUCACUCCGCAAACCACGAAAAUCGCCAGGGUGAGGAGACUCACUGGGUUGGCUCCAACAGUGUGUGUUUCUGAGAAGCCGUCUCACAAAACCUGACCCCAGUGAAAUGAGCCAUUCAUCACAAAGACUUUAAAAACAUAGGGUAUACUUUGUCUCUGAUAUAUUGGGUCAACUUUGUCUAUAUAGUUACGGUUUUGUAUGAUAAGACCCAAACGGAGAGAUUUCCACGAGCACACUAAAAUUGUAUGCAAAA
Long non-coding RNA from Neofelis nebulosa (Clouded leopard), 1006 nucleotides. RefSeq lists it as uncharacterized. The transcript has 2 exons. The record is from RefSeq and is a predicted model, not a curated record. NCBI's taxonomy places the organism in Eukaryota, Metazoa, Chordata, Mammalia, Carnivora, Felidae.